ACCAAACCGAGUUGGACCGAUUUUUACGACCUUGAUUCUGAAUAAAGAAAACCUAACGAUGAACCGGUCUGCUCCAUUGGGCCCUGCUCCCUCCCUCUCAGCUUCUUCAAUUGAAACUCUGUGUUUGUGUUGAGCUUUGCUGAUUAAUUCCUGAAUUCUGGUUCUGGAGUAUUUGUUGACUUUUUCUGAUAAAGUUUUGAACUUUAUGGAUGAUCAAGCAAUUUUCUCACUGCCCUUUAUUUGUUUGUUGUUGGGUUUUAAGGUAAUUUGAAUACCAUUGUGAAGCAUUUCAAGAAUAUGUAUUGGGGUUCUUGUAAUUGCGAUAUAGCUGCUGACAUUUUGUAUAUAUAGAUUUAUAGUUUUGUAGUGUUAUGAGUUCCUUACACAUUUAGAAAGCUGGAACUUUUUAAGAGUUCAAGUGUUUGAUUGGGAUUAUGUAUCUUGUAUGACGGAAGUCGUUCCUUGUAAAUUUGGACUCGGGUUUGUUUGUUAGUGACUACCUCAACCUCGGAGCAUUCAUAUGGUAUUCAGUUGAAUGUUUUUGAGUUUGAUCAAUUACUGAAGCAGAUUUGUUGUGCAGCUUUGAUUUAUCUUUUUCAAUUUCCGAUUUUGACUGUGAUGGUGUUUGUGUGUUGUAAAUUAGUUGCUAUGUGAUCAGGAGUGUAUCUGGAAAGAAUUACUAAGAACGAAGAUAUAUUCUCUUGCCUGUGCAGCUAUAAUAAAUAAUUAAUGACUUCUGUUUGCGUUCGAUUGUCAUAUGGUGGUUCUUAAUUGUUGACAGGGUUUUGACUUGCUAAGUGUUUUGACUUUUAUGUUCUAACUAUGCAAUUUAUGCUCCUAUGCUGCAGAGCCUAUUUAUGAUUGUAGGUGGAUAUCUUCUAACCCUGUCAGACAAAAUGUCUUCCUUGUUCUGAAGUUAUCCGUCUGCAAAAAUGGAACCUUAGAAAGUUAUAGCUAUAUGCAAGUCGCGGGGUAAUUUUGAAUUGGGGGAAGACGGCCUUUUGUCAUACAAUGGGGGGGGGGGGGGGGGGGGGAGCCUAUGCAGUUGAUUUCGAUAGGCAAACUCAGUUGAGUGAGUUUAAGAAAGAAAUUGCUGAAACUUUUAGAUAUAGUGCUGAGGACAUGUCAAUCAAAGUACUUUCUCCCUGGAAAUAGAAAGACACUUAUUACAAUAUCGAAAGAAAAGGAUCUUCAGCGAAGGGUGAACUUUUAUGGGAACUUCGAUCAAGUUGAGGUGUUUAACUGGACUGAGGAUUUUUGCUGCCCGGAACCUUUCAAAUGCCUACCAGUAGCAUUCAGUUGCUCAUCGGUUCACGAGAAGGAAAAAGGAUGAGCCCUUUGUUGCGUCUGGCACGAGAUGAUAAAGAGAGAGCUUCGUCUAUCGAUGAACAAUGGAUUGACGGAGCUCUUUUGCUAUUUUCUCGAAAUUUUGGUGUAUUUGGACUGUAUCAAGGUGCAAGUAACCAUGAAGAGCUUCACAAUUUAAAUAAAGCAACAGUGAUGAUUCGUAGACUCAAGAAGGACGUGCUGACUGAACUUCCUAUGAAACAGCAUUCUAUAUCCAAGAAUUUCAACCUGGGAUUUCAACCUGAAAUUUAAGCGCACUAGUAGAAAUCCCAGGUUGAAAUUCUUGGAUAUAAAAUGUUGUUUCAGAUUGAGGAAUAUUGACCUUUAUGCGGAGAGUUUUGAAAUACUUGAAUUCGACGGUCCAUUAGAACACUUUUGGUUUAAUCAUGUUCCGCAGAUGGUUCAGUUGUGUGCAUGUGUUUCUGGAGACAGAUUUGUAGAAUUUUCAACUUACGCACUAUCCAGUAUUGCUAUUGAUGCACCUCGACUACGGAUACAGAUUCGUCACGCAAUAUCCCAAGUAUACAACUGAUAUCACAUACAAUAUAUCAGUGUCGAUAGUCCAUAUUAAGUUCCAACUUUUUGACAAAGAACUUGUCGUCAUUGCUCCUCCCUUUAGUGGCAAGAACGACAUCAAUCGCCAAAGAAUAUAGGCCAUUGUUUUCUUGCAAUUCAAUAAACAAACAAUAAAUAAAAUGAGAUAGUCACAUAUUCAAAUAAAGAAUUGGGAAAUUUGCAAAAAUACACAUGUUUUCAAACUUAAUUUCAAAAAUAUUGUGCAUAUGAGGUUGCAAAGCGUUGAAAACAGUUGCUUUUCAAGUUGCUACAGUUGCAAUUGAGAUUGCACAACCAUGAUCAAUUAUAAUUGCCGAAAUCAAAUACACAUUAUCAAACCAAACUUCAACUCAAACAAAAUUCAGGAAAUCAUAUGACUGAUACACCUUGUGUUGGGUUUCGGGGCAACAAACGCAACGGAUAAUCGACGUAAAAUCAAAAUUUUCCGAAACCCUAACCGAGGAUCCAUCUAUAAAGUAUGGCUGAUCAUGGAGAUACGAAAUAAUACCUUGUUGAAGUUUUACGUUAGCGAAAGAUGGAGGUCCGGAACAAGCAAUCACCACGCAGCCCUCGGUCUAAGGAUCGCGUCUCUAAGCAGUCCACACGAACGUCUGAUCGCCAAAGAUCACCGGAGCCGGUACUAGCCGAAUGCAGCCUCUCUCUCUCUCUAGCCUCUCUCUUGAUGUAGAGCUGCUAGGGUUUUAAUGAAACGAAUUUUAUAUAACACUUAACCCUAAAACAAUACAUCAUUAUGUAUUUAUAGGGAAGAGAGAUAGAUGGGCCAAACCCUAAUCGGAUUUGGGCUUCUCCAAACCUAAUCCGAUUUCGGUUUUAAUAUUAAAUUCGAAAUUCUAAUUACUUAGUUAAGACCGGCUCAAUUAAACAAUUUAUUUCGAACUUAAUCAUUUAAUUUAAAUUCAGAAUUUAAAUUAAAACACCUUUAAACGUUCUAAGUGUGUGACCCUUUAGGUUAUUAUUACGUUGGCAAUAAUUUUAAUAUCCAAUAAUAAAAUUAUAAACAAUGAGCGGCAUCUAGUAAUACAUCAUUGCUACCCAAGUAAUAAUAAUAAUUGGUGAUUCAAUUAAACCUUUUGUGAAUAAUGUACAAUGUAAUAUAAUCCCUUUAACCUUAUAUUAUAGAUCAGACUCAAGACAUGUAUUGUGUCAUCCUCUUCAUCGUCUAAUCCGAAUUUCCUUGAUCAAUGAGUAGACUAUUAAACAAAUCAAUAUUUGAGCACGGCCAUGCAUUUUAUAGUCUUACUCAAUCAAGAGGCCAAUAAUAUCACUCCUAAAAUAGGAGGUUAAAUCCUUUCUAGAUCAUUCAUAUUUCUCAUACGAUUCAUAAUAUACCCAAUGUACAUUUCAUCAUCACCCGGUCAAAGGUAACUUUUAGUGUAACCAAAGUAUACUAAUUCUCAUAUAGAAAUAUAAUGAUAUCAAGUCAGAGGAUCAUUACAUCAUCAUCACAGUGAGAAUUUCUAAUGACACUUAUUAACAUGUAAAAUCUCACGGUGGGUCAUUCCAGUGCCAUGUGUGGAUACAUGCACUUAUGUUCUUGACUUUAGCAUCACUAUACCUAUGAUCAAUGAGAUGUGAUAAUCAGUUAACAAACAUACCAGUCUUAAUGCAUCAUUAUUGUCCCUUAACAAUAAUACUCGACUAGGGACAUUUAGGAAUAUUGAUAUUAUUCUCAUAAUCUCAUUUCUAAGUCACGUACUUAGAGAUAUAGAAUUACAUAUAAUAUUCCAAGGACAUUUAUUAUGCUUUCAAUUUAUUACGCAGUAAAUAAAGACAUAAUAAAUAUUUAUUCAAUAAUCAAUAAAACAUAAUCCAUAAAUGUCUACGAUAAAACACAAUAGUAUUGUCUCUAGGACACCAAUACUAACACCUUGAUCAUAGCAUAAUUGAACAACAAGAUUGGAGAUUCCUAGUCUAAGCCACAAAAUGGGAUUUCUUGAUCAUACAAGAUACAGUUAAACGUUAAGCAACAUUUGUGAAAGAUGAGAGUGAUUAGAAUUGUACCGGGACUUGGGUGAGUAUAGGCGGUGAUGGGGUACAAUGGGAUAGAUACCAGAAAGCUGCAAUGGGACAAUUUAGUUGCGUUAUACUUUUGAGCCAAUUCAGUACAGGGCAACUAAAUUUUCCCAUUACAGCUCUCUGCUAUCUAUACCAUCGCACCAUGUUACCUCGUAUACCAACCCAAGUCCAGGUAAAAUUCUAAUCACUCUCAUCUUUCACACAUGUUCCUAAACGUUUAACUGUAUAUUGUAUGUGAUCAAGAGAUCCCAUUUUGUCGCUUAGACUAAGAAUCUCCAAUCUCGUUUUUCAAUUAUAAUGAUCAAGGAGUAUUAGUUAUAUGAUUAGCUGAAUUUUGUUGAGUUGAAAUUUGGUCUCAUACUGUAUGUUUGAUUUUGGCAAUUAUAACUGAUCAUGGUUGUGUAAAUUACGUGAAUGACCGUGUGUGGUUUGAUUGUUGUACCAGUGAUCAUUCUUUAAGACACUGUUAGAUUUCAUAUUGGUCGUGUCGUUGAAUAACUUUCAAUUUCAUGAAUAUCCCCGGACUGAUUGAUUGGGUUAGAUUUAUUGAUUAUUGUAUUUUUUUUUUAACUUUUAAUUUUUUUUUUUCAAUUUGGUUUGAUAUCGAAUAUGAGGACUCUAAACACGAGACUAGUUAACAUGGGAAGGCAUACCCAUGGUAGUGUGUGAAGAUCUAUAUGAAGAUGAUGGAUAUGAUCAGUGGCUCCAGUAAGGCCAUUGUGUGCAACCAAAGUAGAGUAAGUUGGUGCUAUGUUAGGAUCAGGCCGGGCGUAGUAUCCCGGGAAAAAUUAAGGUAUUUGGUUUGUGAUAGUUGAUGGCAUAAUGGGGUUACCGGGAUGGAAAUAUGACUAUAUUAUUAGGUGAACCAAUGAGAAUUCAGAUAAAAUAUUUAUAUUCUUCCAGUUGAUGAACUGCUUAAAAAGAAUUGUUCAAUUGUUUUGAUUGAUGGAUAAGUUAUGGCCUUGGCCUUAUAUAUUAAUAUCUGUGAUUAUGAGGACAGGUGUUGGAUUGGGAUUAUGUAUCUUGUAAGUCAGAAGUCAUUCCUUGUAAAUUUGGAGUCGGGUUUGUUUUUUGGUGACUCCCUCAACCUCAGGAGUAUUCAUAUGGUAUUCAGUUGAAUGUUUUUGAGUUUGAUCAAUUACUGAAGCAGAUUUGUUAUGCAGCUUUGAUUUGUCUUUUUCAAUUUCCGAUAUGUGUGACUGUGUUUGUGUGUUGUCAAUUAGUUGCUAUGUGAUCGGGAGGGUAUCUGGAAAGAAUUGCUAAGAACGAAUAUAUAUUCUCUUGCCUUUGCAGCUAUAAUAAAUAAUCAAUGACUUCUGUUUGUGUUUGAUUGUAAUAUGGUGAUUCUUAAUCAUCACACAACUUAUAGGGUUUUGGCUUGCUCAGUGUUUUUACUUUUAUGUUCUAACUUUGCAAUUUAUGCUCCAAUGCUGCAGAGUCUAUUUAUGAGUGUAGGUGGAUAUCAUCUAACCUGAUUGUACAAUAUGUCUUCCUUGUUCUGAAGUUA
This is a long non-coding RNA of Daucus carota subsp. sativus, 5446 nucleotides long. RefSeq lists it as uncharacterized. Lineage: Eukaryota; Viridiplantae; Streptophyta; Magnoliopsida; Apiales; Apiaceae. The record is from RefSeq and is a predicted model, not a curated record. The transcript has 4 exons.